GUGGGGUUAGUGCGAACGGGUGAGUAAUACGUGAGUACCCUGCCUUCUUCUUUGGAUAAGCCUUGGAAACGGGGUCUAAUACUGGAUAUUCCUGUCUGGUCGCAUGGCUGGGUGGGGAAAGUUUUUUCGGUGGGGGAUGGGCUCGCGGCCUAUCAGCUUGUUGGUGGGGUGAUGGCCUACCAAGGCGUCGACGGGUAGCCGGCCUGAGAGGGUGACCGGCCACACUGGGACUGAGAUACGGCCCAGACUCCUACGGGAGGCAGCAGUGGGGGAUAUUGCACAAUGGGCGCAAGCCUGAUGCAGCGACGCCGCGUGGGGGAUGACGGCUUUCGGGUUGUAAACCUCUUUCGUCGGGGGACAAGGCUCUGCUUGGUGGUGGGGUUGAGGGUACCCGGUGAAAAGCGCG
Molecule: ribosomal RNA, 406 nt
Filed under: Actinobaculum sp. oral taxon 183
Lineage: Bacteria; Bacillati; Actinomycetota; Actinomycetes; Actinomycetales; Actinomycetaceae
Description: bacterial SSU rRNA
Rfam family: Bacterial small subunit ribosomal RNA
Source: RNAcentral